AAAAUUGGGGGGGUAGAGCAAGCUAAGCAGAGAGAUAGAAAUUCUAGAAAGGAAGAGAUGCCAGAGAACAAAAACACUGUAGUGGAAAUAGAGAAUGCUUUUGACAGACUUGUUAGUACACUUCAUCUGGUUGAGGAAAGAAUCUCUGAGCUUAAAGAUAUC
Long non-coding RNA from Lontra canadensis (Northern American river otter), 162 nucleotides. RefSeq lists it as uncharacterized. NCBI's taxonomy places the organism in Eukaryota, Metazoa, Chordata, Mammalia, Carnivora, Mustelidae. The record is from RefSeq and is a predicted model, not a curated record. The transcript is spliced from 3 exons.